AUUGAACGCUGGCGGAAUGCUUUACACAUGCAAGUCGAGCGGCAGCACGGGGGCAACCCUGGUGGCGAGCGGCGAACGGGUGAGUAAUACAUCGGAACAUGCCCAGUCGUGGGGGAUAACACUUCGAAAGAAGUGCUAAUACCGCAUACGUCCUGAGGGAGAAAGCGGGGGAUCGCAAGACCUCGCGCGAUUGGAGUGGCCGAUGUCAGAUUAGCUAGUUGGUGGGGUAAAGGCCUACCAAGGCAACGAUCUGUAGCUGGUCUGAGAGGAUGAUCAGCCACACUGGGACUGAGACACGGCCCAGACUCCUACGGGAGGCAGCAGUGGGGAAUUUUGGACAAAGGGGGCAACCCUGAUCCAGCCAUGCCGCGUGAGUGAAGAAGGCCUUCGGGUUGUAAAGCUCUUUCGGCAGGAACGAAACGGUGAGCUCUAACAUAGCUCGCUAAUGACGGUACCUGAAGAAGAAGCACCGGCUAACUACGUG
RNAcentral lists this ribosomal RNA (484 nucleotides) under uncultured bacterium. RNAcentral describes it as "partial 16S ribosomal RNA". It matches the Rfam family "Bacterial small subunit ribosomal RNA", at positions 29 to 507 of the family's 1533-position model. The record is from RNAcentral.